GGAAAAUCUGCCAUCGUCUGAGAAAACUCAAGAUUCCAGUAUUCAAGUUUUGGGUUCUCUUCAGACUUCACAAUUGUGAACUGGGUGGCCAGUGCAACUGGUUACAGAGCUUCCUGGUUGAAGAAUUUGGUGAUUAGGGUUGUAAGCAAUCUAAUUUGACUGUUGAUAGCAUUCGUUUUAUUUUAGAACUCAAAGCCAUCAACAACUUAUUGGCCCUUGCAGUUGGAUUAAAGCAAAACAAAACUGUGAACAUGAUUGUAAAGAAGGUCUUAUCAAGUGCUUCUCAACCAGUUCACUGUUCACCCAAACGACUGCCACCACCAGUUCACCCGAAUCUGAUGAAUCGCGCCGCACCACCAAUAGAAAGAAGGGGGAACGCCUGAACUGGAGAAAGGUACAGUUAGGCUGUUCAAGAUCUUUAUGAAGUUGUCCAUGACAUCCUUUCUAUGGACCCGAGGGAAAACUAUGAGACAUGGAAAUUUUUGUCAAAUGCAAGGACGGAAGGUCGUCUAUUUGCAAAGUUAAAGUGGCCCAAGGACCCUAAGUUGGUAUGUUUGAGCAGAUUACCUGAUCUCCUUAGUUGGGUUUAGAUUUAAUGCUCAGUAUUAUGUUGUGCUUCUGCUGCUUUUUAGUUAUUGAGGAUAUGCAGAGAGUGCAAGUGAAAAGAUUGUAUUCACUGUGUUGAUGCAUUAUUUAUAACGAGAGAUCCAAAAGGAAGGACAGGUUCAAUCUCAAGUGAUGUUGCAGCAAACGAAAUAUCAGACACAACUCUUACUCCAAAGGCUCCCGCCAGAAAUGUAUUAGAUUCCCCAAGCAUUUCUGAAACCAUAUUUAUGGCUGCAAAACAGAGUACUCGAUUGACUUGAGAUCGAAGAGAGAACUCGAAUUAUCAAGUCCAGCAGUAAGUUCCUUGCUGCUCAAGUCCAGACUCGAAACACAACCCUUUUUGCAGGACACUCCUUCCCAAGAGCAGUGAUCUGAGCCAUUGUUCCACGUGACAAGUUUCUUAGACGUUGCAGGGUGAAAUGUGAGGCUGUUCUUCAAUUGUAGCAGCAAAGAUUUCUGGGCGGCCUUAGAUAACUUGCGGCAAGUUGCAAACAUGGAAUAUUCAAAGCUCCCAAAUGGUGUUCGUCUCUUCGCAGAUUGGUUGUUGACUUUCUUGUUUUAUAUAUUGGAAAAAUAACCAUUCCCUUUCUUGAUCCAAAUUUUUUAGUGGCAUGCACAAUGCGUUUGAAGAUUUUGGAUACUUUUAAUUCUUUUUAUUGGAAAAAUAAAAAGUUUAUGGAGAUAUUA
Long non-coding RNA from Pyrus x bretschneideri (Chinese white pear), 1293 nucleotides. RefSeq lists it as uncharacterized. The record is from RefSeq and is a predicted model, not a curated record. NCBI's taxonomy places the organism in Eukaryota, Viridiplantae, Streptophyta, Magnoliopsida, Rosales, Rosaceae. The transcript is spliced from 7 exons.